This 855-nucleotide ribosomal RNA is filed under the name Priestia megaterium. RNAcentral's name for it is "bacterial SSU rRNA". It matches the Rfam family "Bacterial small subunit ribosomal RNA", at positions 57 to 892 of the family's 1533-position model. The record is from RNAcentral. Lineage: Bacteria; Bacillati; Bacillota; Bacilli; Caryophanales; Bacillaceae.
GCAGUCGAGCGAACUGAUUAGAAGCUUGCUUCUAUGACGUUAGCGGCGGACGGGUGAGUAACACGUGGGCAACCUGCCUGUAAGACUGGGAUAACUUCGGGAAACCGAAGCUAAUACCGGAUAGGAUCUUCUCCUUCAUGGGAGAUGAUUGAAAGAUGGUUUCGGCUAUCACUUACAGAUGGGCCCGCGGUGCAUUAGCUAGUUGGUGAGGUAACGGCUCACCAAGGCAACGAUGCAUAGCCGACCUGAGAGGGUGAUCGGCCACACUGGGACUGAGACACGGCCCAGACUCCUACGGGAGGCAGCAGUAGGGAAUCUUCCGCAAUGGACGAAAGUCUGACGGAGCAACGCCGCGUGAGUGAUGAAGGCUUUCGGGUCGUAAAACUCUGUUGUUAGGGAAGAACAAGUACAAGAGUAACUGCUUGUACCUUGACGGUACCUAACCAGAAAGCCACGGCUAACUACGUGCCAGCAGCCGCGGUAAUACGUAGGUGGCAAGCGUUAUCCGGAAUUAUUGGGCGUAAAGCGCGCGCAGGCGGUUUCUUAAGUCUGAUGUGAAAGCCCACGGCUCAACCGUGGAGGGUCAUUGGAAACUGGGGAACUUGAGUGCAGAAGAGAAAAGCGGAAUUCCACGUGUAGCGGUGAAAUGCGUAGAGAUGUGGAGGAACACCAGUGGCGAAGGCGGCUUUUUGGUCUGUAACUGACGCUGAGGCGCGAAAGCGUGGGGGAGCAAACAGGAUUAGAUACCCUGGUAGUCCACGCCGUAAACGAUGAGUGCUAAGUGUUAGAGGGUUUCCGCCCUUUAGUGCUGCAGCUAACGCAUUAAGCACUCCGCCUGGGGAGUACGGUCGCAAG